UUGAAAUUUAAAGAAUUUGGCGGUGUUUAAGUCUGUUUAGAGGAACCUGUACUGUAAUCGAUAUGCCACGUAGAAUUUUACUUUAUGUUGUAUUCAGUAUGUAUAUCGCCAUUAUAAAUAAUUUCUUGAGAAAUUUAUUGAGAUAGAUAAAGGAUCUAUGAUCUUAGGUCAAGGUGCAGCUAAUAAUAAAGUAGUUAUGGGUUACAAUAUAUUAUAUAUAGAUGGAUAUAUGUCUGAAAUGGUAUAUUGAAGGUGGAUUUAAUUGUAUUUCUUUUUUAUUAAGUUAGAUUGAUAAUAGCUCUUAGAUAUGUACAUAUCGCCCGUCGCAAA
RNAcentral lists this ribosomal RNA (330 nucleotides) under Anchistioides antiguensis. Its description in RNAcentral is "partial 12S ribosomal RNA". The record is from RNAcentral. Lineage: Eukaryota; Metazoa; Arthropoda; Malacostraca; Decapoda; Anchistioididae.